RNAcentral lists this ribosomal RNA (214 nucleotides) under uncultured bacterium. RNAcentral's name for it is "partial 16S ribosomal RNA". It matches the Rfam family "Bacterial small subunit ribosomal RNA", at positions 1289 to 1500 of the family's 1533-position model. The record is from RNAcentral.
CAGUUCAGAUUNCAGGCUGCAACUCGCCUGCAUGAAGUCGGAAUUGCUAGUAAUCGCAGAUCAGCAUGCUGCGGUGAAUACGUUCCCGGGCCUUGUACACACCACCCGUCACACCAUGGGAGUCGGUAACACCCGAAGUCGGUAGCCUAACCGUAAGGAGGGCGCCGCCGAAGGUGGGGAUUGAUGACUGGGGGUGAAGUCGUAACAAGGUAAC